RNAcentral lists this ribosomal RNA (497 nucleotides) under uncultured bacterium. RNAcentral's name for it is "partial 16S ribosomal RNA". It matches the Rfam family "Bacterial small subunit ribosomal RNA", at positions 29 to 507 of the family's 1533-position model. The record is from RNAcentral.
ACGAACGCUGGCGGCGUGCCUAAUACAUGCCAGUCGAACGAGAGCGACCGGUGCUUGCACUGGUCAAUCUAGUGGCGAACGGGUGAGUAACACGUGGGUAACCUGCCCAUCAGAGGGGGAUAACAUCCGGAAACGGAUGCUAAAACCGCAUAGGUCUUCGAACCGCAUGGUUUGAAGAGGAAAAGAGGCGCAAGCUUCUGCUGAUGGAUGGACCCGCGGUGCAUUAGCUAGUUGGUGAGGUAACGGCUCACCAAGGCCGUGAUGCAUAGCCGACCUGAGAGGGUGAUCGGCCACAUUGGGACUGAGACACGGCCCAAACUCCUACGGGAGGCAGCAGUAGGGAAUCUUCCGCAAUGGACGCAAGUCUGACGGAGCAACGCCGCGUGAGUGAAGAAGGUUUUCGGAUCGUAAAACUCUGUUGUUAGAGAAGAACAAGUGCUAGAGUAACUGUUAGCGCCUUGACGGUAUCUAACCAGAAAGCCACGGCUAACUACGUG